This 464-nucleotide ribosomal RNA is filed under the name Vreelandella stevensii. Its description in RNAcentral is "partial 16S ribosomal RNA". It matches the Rfam family "Bacterial small subunit ribosomal RNA", at positions 338 to 795 of the family's 1533-position model. The record is from RNAcentral. Lineage: Bacteria; Pseudomonadati; Pseudomonadota; Gammaproteobacteria; Oceanospirillales; Halomonadaceae.
CCUACGGGAGGCAGCAGUGGGGAAUAUUGGACAAUGGGGGGAACCCUGAUCCAGCCAUGCCGCGUGUGUGAAGAAGGCCCUCGGGUUGUAAAGCACUUUCAGUGAGGAAGAACGCCUGGUGGUUAAUACCCAUCAGGAAAGACAUCACUCACAGAAGAAGCACCGGCUACUCCGUGCCAGCAGCCGCGGUAAUACGGAGGGUGCGAGCGUUAAUCGGAAUUACUGGGCGUAAAGCGCGCGUAGGUGGCUUGAUAAGCCGGUUGUGAAAGCCCCGGGCUCAACCUGGGAACGGCAUCCGGAACUGUCCAGCUAGAGUGCAGGAGAGGAAGGUAGAAUUCCCGGUGUAGCGGUGAAAUGCGUAGAGAUCGGGAGGAAUACCAGUGGCGAAGGCGGCCUUCUGGACUGACACUGACACUGAGGUGCGAAAGCGUGGGUAGCAAACAGGAUUAGAUACCCUUGUAGUC